UACGGGAGGCAGCAGGUGGGGAAUAUUGCACAAUGGGCGAAAGCCUGAUGCAGCUAUGCCGCGUGUAUGAAGAAGGCCUUAGGGUUGUAAAGUACUUUCAUCGGGGAGGAAAAAACAAAACUAAUAAUUUUAUUUCUUGACGUUACCCGAAAAAGAAGCACCGGCUAACUCCGUGCCAGCAGCCGCGGUAAUACGGAGGGUGCUAGCGUUAAUCAGAAUUACUGGGCGUAAAGAGCACGUAGGUGGUUUUUUAAGUCAGAUGUGAAAUCCCUGGGCUUAACCUAGGAACUGCAUUUUGAAACUGAAAUACUAGAGUAUCGUAGAGGGAGGUAGAAUUCUAGGUGUAGCGGUGAAAUGCGUAGAUAUCUGGAGGAAUACCUGUGGCGAAAGCGGCCUCCUAAACGAAUACUGACACUGAGGUGCGAAAGCGUGGGGAGCAAAACAGGGAUUAGAUACC
RNAcentral lists this ribosomal RNA (457 nucleotides) under uncultured bacterium. Its description in RNAcentral is "bacterial SSU rRNA". It matches the Rfam family "Bacterial small subunit ribosomal RNA", at positions 340 to 786 of the family's 1533-position model. The record is from RNAcentral.